UGAUAGACUGUCUUGAAUUUCGUUAGAAAGU
Molecule: non-coding RNA, 31 nt
Filed under: Mus musculus (house mouse)
Lineage: Eukaryota; Metazoa; Chordata; Mammalia; Rodentia; Muridae
Source: RNAcentral